Molecule: transfer RNA, 677 nt
Filed under: Phyllostachys heteroclada f. solida
Lineage: Eukaryota; Viridiplantae; Streptophyta; Magnoliopsida; Poales; Poaceae
Description: tRNA-Val
Source: RNAcentral
UAGGGCUAUACGGACUCGAACCGUAGACCUUCUCGGUAAAACAGAUCAAACUGAUUAUUCUCAAAAUGAUUCGAACUGUUUCAAAGACCCAACAUGCAUUUUUUUGCAUUGGGCUCUUCCAUUAACUGAUAUAAAUAAUCAGUUAGUCUACCAUAAUUCUCUUGACAAGAAGAUAAGAAGAUGGCUCCAUGUGCUCUGAUUUCUUAUUUGGAUUCCGAUCUGAGAGCACUACCGAAGUGUUUCAAAGAAGGUUAUCCUGACGUAGGUUUGCUUUUGGCUUAGAUCAACCUAAGUUAAAUGAAGUCUCCAUCGCCCCCUUCUUACUUAAAUAAUCCAAUAUGAAACUUCAUACACCUUAAAGUUCAUAAGAUAGGACGAAAAAAGAAUUUUUUGAGGUCUUGAUACUCAUUAUGCCUAGCAUUGAAUAGAGUGAGUAUUCCCCUUAUCAAUAUCUUAAAUCAAUAAUGGGUCCUAUUGGUUGCCUAAAAUCUAAAAAUCGAAAAGGGGCACCUAAAUUGGACCGAAUCUUUUGUCAGGCUAUUGUUCUCUUGUUCCCUAAAAGUCAUGGAGUAAGACAUCAACUUCUCAAUAAGUUUUUUGAUUCCAUAAUGUACUCCUCUGAAAAAGCAUCGGCGCGCGUGUAAACGAGGUGCUCUACCUAACUGAGCUAUAGCCCU